GAGACACCUUAUGGAGCAGGACUUCAGUGGGGCUUUGGUGCUCACUGAGUCUGCCCCUUGAGUGUGUUGCU
RNAcentral lists this microRNA precursor (71 nucleotides) under Myotis lucifugus (little brown bat). RNAcentral's name for it is "mir-9229 microRNA precursor family". It matches the Rfam family "mir-9229 microRNA precursor family". Lineage: Eukaryota; Metazoa; Chordata; Mammalia; Chiroptera; Vespertilionidae. The record is from Rfam by way of RNAcentral.